CAGCCGCCGCGGUAAUACCGGCGGCCCGAGUGGCGGCCACUAUUAUUGGGCUUAAAGCGUCCGUAGCCGGGUUGGUUAGUCUCCCGGGAAAUCUGGCCGCUUAACGGUCAGAAUUCCGGGAGAUACUGCCAGCCUAGGGACCGGGAGAGGCCGAGGGUAUUCCCGGAGUAGGGGUGAAAUCCUAUAAUCCCGGGAGGACCACCUGUGGCGAAGGCGCUCGGCUGGAACAGGUCCGACGGUGAGGGACGAAGGCCAGGGGAGCAAACCGGAUUAGAUACCCGGGUAGUCCUGGCUGUAAACGAUGCGGACUUUGUGUCGGACAAGCUAUGAGCUUGUCCGGUGCCGGAGGGAAACCGUUAAGUCCGCCGCCUGGGGAGUACGGCCGCAAGGCUGAAACUUAAAGGAAUUGGCGGG
This 414-nucleotide ribosomal RNA is filed under the name uncultured microorganism. Its description in RNAcentral is "bacterial SSU rRNA". It matches the Rfam family "Archaeal small subunit ribosomal RNA", at positions 459 to 872 of the family's 1478-position model. The record is from RNAcentral.